Molecule: ribosomal RNA, 368 nt
Filed under: uncultured organism
Description: bacterial SSU rRNA
Rfam family: Bacterial small subunit ribosomal RNA
Source: RNAcentral
CGAAGGAUCCAAGCGUUAUCCGGAUUUAUUGGGUUUAAAGGGUGCGUAGGCGGCUUAUUAAGUCAGUGGUGAAAGCCUGCAGCUUAACUGCAGAACUGCCAUUGAUACUGAUGAGCUUGAGUAUAGUUGAGGUGGGCGGAAUGUGUCAUGUAGCGGUGAAAUGCUUGGAUAUGACACAGAACACCGAUUGCGAAGGCAGCUCGCUAAACUAUAACUGACGCUGAGGCACGAAAGCGUGGGGAGCGAACAGGAUUAGAUACCCUGGUAGUCCACGCCCUAAACGUUGAUAACUCGAUGUGUGCGAUAUACAGUACGCGUCUAAGCGAAAGCAUUAAGUUAUCCACCUGGGAAGUACGGUCGCAAGAUUG